This is a long non-coding RNA of Globicephala melas (long-finned pilot whale), 4171 nucleotides long. RefSeq lists it as uncharacterized. Lineage: Eukaryota; Metazoa; Chordata; Mammalia; Artiodactyla; Delphinidae. The record is from RefSeq and is a predicted model, not a curated record.
GUCUAAUUCUGUUUUGUGAGUACAUUCACUUGCGUCAUUUUUUUGAUUCCACAUAUAAGUGAUAUCAUACAGUAUUUCUCUUUGUCUGACUUACUUCAUUUCAUAUAAUCACGUCUAGGUCCAUCCAUGUUGCUGCAAAUGGCCUUAUUUCAUUCUUUUUUAUGGCUGAGUAAUAUUCCAUUGUAUGUAUGUACCACAUUUUCUUUAUCCAUUCUUCUGUCGAUGGACAUUUAGGUUGAAGAAGGCUCAACUUUAACUUCCAGCUGAUAUCUGCCAAUUUCCCUUUCAUGCAGUGGAGCCCAGGGGGCCACCAGAAAAGUCUCAGGUGGGACAGAGUGACGGCCGAGACACACCCUAAGGUGGGAAUUCUGAAGGGGCCCCCAGCACCUCCAAAGGCUGGCAAGCCCCUUCUUCUCCCUCGGGGGUUCCCUAGCCUCCCCCCGGGCCACACUCACUGCUGCCUCUCACACUGGCCUCACUGGCUUGCUGGGGCAACCUGGGGGGCCAGAGCUGCAGGACCUCAUCUUUGAAUUCUGAGCCUCACACAGUACCUGGAUCUCCUAGAAGCUUCGUGAAGACUAGCCUAGUGGCUGGGAGCCACGCGGCCCGGGCUCCAGUCUGAUUCUGCCACGUGCCUGCUGCGUCCUUCGAGAGUUGUGUCACCCACAUGUGCCUCAGCUGCCUCAUGUGUAGAGGUCACGAUAGCACUGACCUCAAACGGCUGCUGUGAGGGGGGAAGGGUUCACAUUUGCAAAGUGCCUGGAAGGUAGGAAGCAUCGGGUCACCGUGCAUUCAGGGAGCAGGUGAGUGCAGGAGCGCUGGGACUUCCCGAGGAUGUGUGCUGGUCCAGGGCUGGGCAGCGGGUGCGGGCCCACCUCCCUCCCCCCCUGCAGCCCACAUGGGGCAGGGGGUCCACGGGAGGCGCAGCUGUACCCCACAGGUCUCGAAGGGUCCAGGCCCCUUGUCUGCCCAGUUGUUCUGCGUGCUGUGUCCUGGGGUGUCACCCGCACCCGCGUGGCACUUGUUCUGGCUCCGGGUAGGGGGAGGGGGAGAGGAAAGUCCAGGACAAGGGGCUGCCUUUGUGAGGACAUGUCCCGGAGGUGACAGCGUCUGCUUGUCCAACGGGCCAGAUCCCCUCCCCGGCCACCUGGCUUCCGUCUCUGUCUGGUCAGUUGUCCAGCUGACACUCCUUGGUGAGGUUCUGUUGCUAAAAGGAAGAAGGGGAGACUGGUUGCUGGGGGACAGUUAGCAGACUCGGCCCCAGAGUGUAGAGCACGAGGUCAUCAUCUUGGAAGCAAGCCUUGGUUUGCAGUUCCCCGACCAGGGAUCGAACCUGCACCCCCCUGCAGUGGAAGCGCAGAGUCCUAACCACUGGACCGCCAGGCAAGUCCCAGUGCGUUUCCUGUUUAGAUUCAUUUCAUAAGCGAGGUCCAUUCACCGGUCGACUCAUCCGUCACAAUUGCCGCUGCACCUGAUGUCCCCACAAGUUCACGUCACAGACGCCAGGGAGGCUGAGCUCGUCCCAUUUUCCAGAACUCCCCGGGGCCACACUGGGGCCUCCUUACAGCCCUGUGAACUCCGGAUGGCGGUUCCAGUUCCAGGGGCCCAGAGAGAAUGGCCGGAAGUCCCAGAGCACUGACCCUCCCUUGCCGCAUCACCUGCCCGAGGAGUCACCAGAAGUGCACGUGCAGAGGAAAUUGCUCCGAUAGCAUCUCCCCUUGAACUCACGCCUGGAACCGGGGCCUGGAGAGACUCGAAUGGGUAACCCACCCGCCUGUGCCCCGAGUUCCGGAGGAGGGCUAGUAAAUACUCGAGUUUGCAUUGCCUGGGGAGAGAUGGAAUUUCUCACCUGGUCCACUUCCUCUCUUUGUAAUUAUCAUGAACAGUAGCGCAGCCCCUCCUUCUCCAGACCUUGGUGACCUGGGGGAAGGCGCAGAGGAAACAGUUCCGGGCUUUCUGCGCCGUCCCAUAUUAUAUUAGCUCCUGUUUCCGCUGUAACAAAUUACCGCAAACGUAGCGGCUUUUGAAGCAACACACAUUUUUCAUCUUACGGUUCGGCAGGUCAAGGUCAACACGAGUCUCCCUGGGCUGGUCCGGUGCGGGCCGGGCUGGUUCCUGCUGGGGCUCCUGGGAGAAGCCGUGUCCUGCCUUUUCCAGCUUUAGGGCCCCACGCUCCACGGCUUGUGGCCUUUCCUCCGUCUUCAAAGCCAGCAGCAUGGCAUCCCUGCGACCUUCCUCCUAGGUCACAUCUCUCUCCAUCUGCAGCCGGGCAAGGCUCUGCACUUGCAGGGACUGGGGGCCUAGACGGGACCUGAGCAAGCCGCUUGUCCCUCGGGACCCUCCUCACCUGCCGGGUAGGGUGACAGUGCCUGCCUGUGUCACAGGAGGGGUGAGAACCAGACACGCUGGGCUGGACAAGGUUUGAGAAGCUGUGAGUGUUGUGAACGGCAUGGGUACGAGCACUUUCUGGGACGGGGCGGGGCAUCGAGCAGAGGCCACUGGAAGCACUGAUGCCUCUCGGGCGCUCACAGCCUGGAAGCCCCAAUCCCUCCCCUCCUUGGACACUUAGAAGCACCCAUCAUGUGGCCUCGGGAGACCAGGGCACGUGGCAGGGUGGGUGUCUCCUCGGGGAGCUGCGUGCAGAGCUGUGUCCCCAUGUCACUGGGUCACACCUGGAAGGUACCCCCCUCCCCGGACUGCAGAGAGGCAUGGUUCAGAAGAGGGGGCCCCACCCCGGGCUGGAACGUGCCGGGCUGGCUCAACACCGGCCCCGUGCUGGAGAAGCUCAGGGGACAGUGCUCAGGGAGUAGAUGCCUGCCGGGGGAUGGAAGGCCCUGACGGGGUGCACACCCCGUGCCGCUAAUCCGGAGGCGCGGGAAACCCCCAGGGGAGGGCGUUAGAGUCAAGUCGGAGAAGGUGAGACAGGGCUUUGGGUGGAGGGCAGUCCCCAGGAGCAGUCACGGAGGGUGAGGGCGUGGGUGCUCCGGAGCUGACCCCCCUCCCGAAGCAGCCUCACCUCCAGGCAAGGCUGUGAGAAAGAAGCCCCAGGUAUGGCCUGGACACCUGGAACCUCUGUACCUUCUUCAGGUGCCGGGGCUGCCCCCAGGGUUACCGUCAGCUGAGAUCAGGGAUCGUGGCUUUGAUUUAGGAAGUUUGUUCAUUCAGCAGAUAUUAGCUGAGCGCCUGCCUUAUGCCAGCACUGAGCUAGGUGCUGGGGCGAGUCUCCCCUCGCAGGCACAGGCAUUACGCACUCUGUAAAGAACUCAGUGUUGCAAACGUGUUUGUUGUUCAUUCUUCAUUCUGUCGUUCACACGACAAGCGUCCCUGGGGUCCUCCUGUGUCCCAGGCCCGGUGAACACGCCAGUGAACAAGACACACAAGUCCAGCCCGGAGCUCGGCUCCCGUGAUGAUGACGGAUAACAGUGACCAGCGUUCUCUUGGCGAUUCCAUUUCACAGCAGCCACAGGUUGAUCUAUGCCUGACUUGGAAAUAAAAAACCCGGGAACAACUUAACUGCCUAAUUAGUUCUGGAGGAUAACCAACCAAUCAAGGUGAGGCUGAGUCCAAAACUAGAUAUGAACGCUUAGAAAUAAAUGAAAAUAUAGCAUCUUCCCCCUCACCUGAAAUGCUUGCGCUUCUGAAGACAUGGAAACAUUUUGAACGAUACAGUGUUGAUUUCAGUGUUUAUCAUGUGUCGGUUCUACAUUACGUCUGGGUCUUUAAUUGUCCUAAAAUGAUUAUUUUGUAAUGAAAAGUCAGAGUGUCCUAUGACAGUGUGUGAAUAAAGAGGGAAGGAAGGGUAGGCGUCGCAAAAGGAUGGUGCAUGUGGGCCGGCCCCCCUCUGCCUGGGGACUGCCUCUGGACAGGCCGGGCACAUGUGGCCGGAUUCAUUCCAGAGGGAGAGGAAACGAGACUUCCACGCUGCGUCAAGGCCAAGAGGUUUGAGGCUAGAAUUGCAUUCCUCUCAAGUCCGAGACCUUGAGAUUCUCCGAGGAUCUGCCAGGAAGUGUCCUUCUUUACUGAAAGACAAAAGGUGGUAAUUUUAUGACCACCUUAUAAGUAACAGUGUCACCAUCUUAGCGUGACGGACAUAGAUUCAUUCUGUCUGAAAGAAGCAUCAGCAGAAGAAGUGGAACAUUUGACCUUUUUCUCCAAAUUUCUACUUUCCAUA